This 247-nucleotide ribosomal RNA is filed under the name uncultured bacterium. RNAcentral describes it as "partial 16S ribosomal RNA". It matches the Rfam family "Bacterial small subunit ribosomal RNA", at positions 523 to 769 of the family's 1533-position model. The record is from RNAcentral.
ACACGUAGGAGGCGAGCGUUAUCCGGAUUUACUGGGUGUAAAGCGCGUGCAGGCGGUUCGGAAAGUUGGAUGUGAAAGCUCCUGGCUUAACUGGGAGAGGUCGUUCAGUACUUCUGGACUCGAGAGUGGGAGAGGGAGGUGGAAUUCCGGGUGUAGUGGUGAAAUGCGUAGAUAUCCGGAGGAACACCAGUGGCGAAAGCGGCCUCCUGGCCCAUUUCUGACGCUCAGACGCGAAAGCUAGGGUAGC